GGCUCCAUGGUCAAGCGGUUAAGACAUCGCCCUUUCACGGCGGUAACCCGGGUUCGAUUCCCGGUGGAGUCA
Molecule: transfer RNA, 72 nt
Filed under: Mordavella massiliensis
Lineage: Bacteria; Bacillati; Bacillota; Clostridia; Eubacteriales; Clostridiaceae
Also listed under: 8 other names
Description: tRNA-Glu
Rfam family: tRNA
About the family: Transfer RNA (tRNA) molecules are approximately 80 nucleotides in length.
Source: RNAcentral